RNAcentral lists this ribosomal RNA (547 nucleotides) under Salmonella enterica. Its description in RNAcentral is "partial 23S ribosomal RNA". It matches the Rfam family "Bacterial large subunit ribosomal RNA", at positions 711 to 1222 of the family's 2925-position model. The record is from RNAcentral. Lineage: Bacteria; Pseudomonadati; Pseudomonadota; Gammaproteobacteria; Enterobacterales; Enterobacteriaceae. RNAcentral also lists the same sequence under 4 other names.
AGACCCGAAACCCGGUGAUCUAGCCAUGGGCAGGUUGAAGGUUGGGUAACACUAACUGGAGGACCGAACCGACUAAUGUUGAAAAAUUAGCGGAUGACCUGUGGCUGGGGGUGAAAGGCCAAUCAAACCGGGAGAUAGCUGGUUCUCCCCGAAAGCUAUUUAGGUAGCGCCUCGUGAAUUCAUCUCCGGGGGUAGAGCACUGUUUCGGCUAGGGGGCCAUCCCGGCUUACCAACCCGAUGCAAACUGCGAAUACCGGAGAAUGUUAUCACGGGAGACACACGGCGGGUGCUAACGUCCGUCGUGAAGAGGGAAACAACCCAGACCGCCAGCUAAGGUCCCAAAGUCAUGGUUAAGUGGGAAACGAUGUGGGAAGGCCCAGACAGCCAGGAUGUUGGCUUAGAAGCAGCCAUCAUUUAAAGAAAGCGUAAUAGCUCACUGGUCGAGUCGGCCUGCGCGGAAGAUGUAACGGGGCUAAACCAUGCACCGAAGCUGCGGCAGCGAACGUAUCACCCAAGACAACUUUACGGAGUUGACGAUUGACGGAGC